RNAcentral lists this long non-coding RNA (1209 nucleotides) under Fukomys damarensis (Damara mole-rat). Its description in RNAcentral is "lncRNA (ENSFDAG00000027753.1)". Lineage: Eukaryota; Metazoa; Chordata; Mammalia; Rodentia; Bathyergidae. The record is from RNAcentral.
GGGCGGAGGGGGGCAUCUGUGAUGUGGUUUUGAGAACAUUUUGGUUUUUCAUUGUGUUUCCGCCUCUGAAUUCCAAUAGUGCCUUCUUUGUACUUCUCUUACAUCAUCUUACUUGGGAAAGAGCAGAGGGUUCAGCCUUGGGAACCCUGGGUUCAGGAGAGGUUUGUGCUUCCUUACUGAUGGUUGUCCUUGGCACAGUCCCUGCGUGGUGCCAGCUCAGGACUCUCCCUGACGAAACAGGGACAAUGAGAAUCUUCUUAUCUCACAGCAUUUUUCUAAGAACCAAGCAAGAUCAUAACUGAGGAAAUUCUUGUCAAGACACAAGGCAACUUGCAAAUAUUGAUUGUUACGGUGGCAUUUCAUUUCAUACUUGGUGUUAGAUAUUCCUGAUAGACUCUUCACACCUUGAAAGCAGAGCCCUACGAUAAUCUUUUUUCUGUAUCAUUCAUGGCAUGGAGAGACAACUUAGCAAAGGAAUGCCUGGCCGUCCUGCUGGAGGGGCUGUUGAGAAUGCAGCGAACACAUUCUGCGUAGGUGACCACGUUGGCAUCUCACCUGAUUAUGAGACCCUAGUGCUGACUGUGAGGAGUGGCAGCCCAGAAACACCUGUGGGAAAGUCAUUGAAGACGAAACAGAACUGGGAGGGAGCAGAAUCUGUCUCAACACUUCCUGCCAAGCUUUCAUCCCCUCUACCCUCUGUGACUCAAUUAUCUCAUAAGGUAAUCAUACUUGCUUAUUGGUCUCAAAGGCUCAACUUUCCCUUUAUAUUGGUCCAUCUGUGUCGCUAAUUACUGAGCUGUUUCACAUAUUUUUCUAAGCUGAACUUUUCCACCUUCAACAGGAGCCCAUGGCCAGGGGACUCCUCCCUGAUUCAAUGAUGGUUUCCAUCAUGAGCACCUUGAAAGCGGAGAGGGGCUGGUCCACGAUUGCACCCAGGGUGGAGGAUGGUGGUGGAGCUGCUGUUUCAGGACUACACAUUGUUGUUGCUUAAUAAAGAUACGGGGUAUUGGAAGUUAAAUAAUGCCAGGCUUAUGAGUGUGCCAGGAAAGUAAAAAGUAUAGGUCAUGAAUCAUGAACGUGUUCAUUAAAGACCAGAUGGAAAUUUAGAGAGGUCACAUGAGCGAAGUCCUCUUGACUUGAAGUAGAAUGAGUUUCUGUGUUGCUUUUGACUCUCAAAUGUUUGGCAGGACCCAAAUUUCAAUAGGUGGC